Molecule: ribosomal RNA, 253 nt
Filed under: uncultured bacterium
Lineage: Bacteria
Description: partial 16S ribosomal RNA
Rfam family: Bacterial small subunit ribosomal RNA
Source: RNAcentral
UACGAAGGGGGCUAGCGUUGCUCGGAAUGACUGGGCGUAAAGGGCGCGUAGGCGGAUGGCUUUGUCGGGCGUGAAAUUCCAGGGCUUAACCUUGGGGCUGCGUUCGAGACGGGUUGUCUUGAGUGGGGAAGAGGGUCGUGGAAUUCCCAGUGUAGAGGUGAAAUUCGUAGAUAUUGGGAAGAACACCGGUGGCGAAGGCGGCGACCUGGUCCUUUACUGACGCUGAGAUGCGAAAGCGCGGGGAGCGAACGGG